AUAAUUAAAUACUUACAUAUUGUUGUUCCGCCUCAGUUGUAACAAAUACAUCAUUCUUAUCGGUAUGAGCUUUGCGAAACGUUUCCACUCUCUUAAGGUUCUGUUUAACUUUAAAAAUUAGAUUAUAUUUUAAAUAAAUAAUUACAUAUAUCGUACGUUACCUUCUUAUAGCAACUACUGCUAUACGAGCUCGACCCCCACGAUUCGCAUUUGUUUGCAUUUCACGGAUUUUUUUGUUCUUUUCUGAAGCAAUUAUGUGUUCGUUUGUUUGGAAAUACUCAACUGCUUUUUUCCACUUAUCAACUUCCAUACCCUCUGGAGGGUUGGCUAUUGCUCUCGGGAUAUCUUCAUACCCUCCGACUAACAUAAAAUAUUCUUUUGCGUCAGCUUUACGUUCUCGAUAACCUUUUAACAAAGCUGCUUGGAAACUCUCUGUCAACAUAUUAACUUGUCAUCUCGGUACAUCUAAUCUAAAUCAAACUUUGUCUACAAAUAAAAAAGUUAACCAAGUAAAAAACAAUUAUAGUUAACCAUAUAAAAUAUAUUUAAAUAAAUAACUGCCGCUAAAUGUUGUAAUACGGUGUCCUGUAUUGCAGGGGAAACUUUUUUCCAAGUGCAUUUAUCAAAAGGGACCAUCUGCCACAUUGUUUUUCCAACUUCUCGGGAAAACAUGUCUUUCGGCUCUCCUACGGGAUCAAAUGUGAUAUCCCUAUCAUAUUCCAUGCUAAUCGGUUUGCCCUGGUUCCAUAAGAUCGUUUUUUCAAGCUUUAUAUUUUUCGAUUUGCCUCGAACUUUCCUUUGUGCAAGUUGCUCAACUACAAAUGUAAUUAAAAAUUAUUAGAAACGGUAUUUAAUUUAUAAUAGCUGAACAAAAAUAGUAAACAACAAUUCAUAACAAGACUUACCGUCCUGCUCGUGAUGACCAACACCUCUACCACCUGGGAGAGGUGCGUCCUCAGCUCCAUCACCCCCCGUGUCCACGACCCAUAACAGCUGCCAUGGUAUACAUAAACAAAAGCCAUAUUGUCAUCAUUUCUUGAAAAACUUAUAAGAUAUACAAAUAUAAUUUUUAUUACAAAUACACAUUACAUAGAAAUAAACAUUUACAUAGGAAUAAACAUUUCUAUUUAAACAAGAACUGUUCUAAUCAGAAUAUUCCUCAUAUCCUUCGGUGUCUUCUUCUGUAUCAUAAUCAUAAUCGGUCUCAUCGUAAUCAGUUUCGCAAUCAGAAACAUCAUUGACUAUACCAGUAUAGCAUCCUACUUAUACCAAAACCACAUACUUUUCCACAUAAUACACAAGAGAAUGAAAUUCACAUACUUUCACACACAUAUACCACGUAUACACCAAAUACAAAUACAUUCACAUACACACAAAAUAACAUCCUACUUAAAUUAAAUACACAUAUUUUCACAUAUAUAGCUAAUAACAUCCUAUUUAUACCAAAUACAAAAAUUUCACAAUCAUAUACCACAUUUACGACAAACAUACAUAUAUUCACAUACACACAAUAACAUCCUACUUAUAACAAAUACAUAUAAUUUCACAUAUAUAUAGAUAAUAACAUCAUGUAUAUACUUCUACCAAAUACUCAUACACCACAUAUACAUCAAACACACAUACAUUGGCAUAUAUACACCAAAUUCACAUAUAUUUAUACAAAUACCAAAUAUACAAUCUAAUUUUCACAUAUGGCAAUUUUCACAUACAAAUACGAAAUUCACAAAAAAAUGAAAUAAUAGAACCUGUAGUGGCGGAAAUCAACGGAUAUGUAGCCGGAAAAUUUGGUCUUCACCCGAAAAUACCCUCACCGGUAAACCCAAAGACAACACCACCAAAAACACUGAAAUUAAACAAUUUAUUGCAAUUUAAUCAUCAAAUUCGGCUCUUAAUAAUCACCAAAUGUCCCUAAAGACUAAACUACAAAUGGAAGUAAUACAAGAAUCAAAUUCAUUUUUUUUUCUAAUCCAAAGACAACACCACCAAAAACAAGAAAUUGAACAACUUAUGGCCAUUUAAUCAUCAAAUGCAGCUACAAAUCGAAAUUAACAUACAAAUUAAAAAGGAAACAACAAAAUCAACUAACAUUUCUUCAAGAAAUAAAGCUAGAAAUCGGUCAUAAAAGCCCUAACCACCCCUUGAUCCUUAAUCUCACACAAUGUGGGGAGAUAUGUAGUUGGAACAACCUAAUUGAAGACAAACUCGGUAGAAGCUGAAAGAGGCGUAGUGUGGGAUGCAACAAACAGAAAGCAAAAUGGGAGAAAUGAAGAAACUGCGUGCAUUUUUUUAUCUGCGAGAGCCUUUAGCGGCGACAAUUAGGGAUUUACCGACGACAACGGUCAAUAGCGGAGACAAUCUGAAGGGAAGGGUACCGCGUCAUUUUUUAACUAACUAUUAACGUCGACAUUUUUACCUUUUAGCGGCGACACAUAUGUCGCCGGUAUUAGGUUAGUGCGGAUAAGGGAC
RNAcentral lists this long non-coding RNA (2466 nucleotides) under Lactuca sativa (garden lettuce). RNAcentral describes it as "long non-coding RNA (LSAT_LNC003524)". The record is from RNAcentral. Lineage: Eukaryota; Viridiplantae; Streptophyta; Magnoliopsida; Asterales; Asteraceae.